GACGAACGCUGGCGGCGUGCCUAACACAUGCAAGUCGAGCGGGAUCCAUCCAGUAGCAAUACUGGGGAAGAUCUAGCGGCGAACGGGUGAGUAACACGUGAGAAACCUGCCCCGAAGUCUGGGAUAACCCGAGGAAACUCGAGCUAAUACCGGAUGCCCUCCUCUGGUCGCAUGGCCGGUGGAGGAAAGAUUCAUCGCUUCGGGAGGGUCUCGCGGCCUAUCAGCUAGUUGGUGGGGUAAUGGCCCACCAAGGCGUCGACGGGUAGCUGGUCUGAGAGGACGAUCAGCCACACUGGGACUGAGACACGGCCCAGACUCCUACGGGAGGCAGCAGUGGGGAAUCUUGCGCAAUGGGCGAAAGCCUGACGCAGCAACGCCGCGUGCGGGAUGAAGGCCUUCGGGUUGUAAACCGCUUUCAGGAGGGACGAAAUUGACGGUACCUCCAGAAGAAGCCCCGGCCAACUACGUGCCAGCAGCCGCGGUAACACGUAGGGGGCAAGCGUUGUCCGGAUUUAUUGGGCGUAAAGAGCUCGUAGGCGGCUUAGUAAGUCGGGUGUGAAACCUCCAGGCUCAACCUGGAGACGCCACCCGAUACUGCUAUAGCUAGAGUCCGGUAGGGGAGCGUGGAAUUCCUGGUGUAGCGGUGAAAUGCGCAGAUAUCAGGAGGAACACCAGCGGCGA
This 681-nucleotide ribosomal RNA is filed under the name uncultured Actinomycetes bacterium. RNAcentral describes it as "bacterial SSU rRNA". It matches the Rfam family "Bacterial small subunit ribosomal RNA", at positions 28 to 718 of the family's 1533-position model. The record is from RNAcentral. Lineage: Bacteria; Bacillati; Actinomycetota; Actinomycetes.